RNAcentral lists this transfer RNA (68 nucleotides) under Rattus norvegicus (Norway rat). It matches the Rfam family "tRNA". From Rfam's summary of the family: Transfer RNA (tRNA) molecules are approximately 80 nucleotides in length. Their secondary structure includes four short double-helical elements and three loops (D, anti-codon, and T loops). Further hydrogen bonds mediate the characteristic L-shaped molecular structure. tRNAs have two regions of fundamental functional importance: the anti-codon, which is responsible for specific mRNA codon recognition, and the 3' end, to which the tRNAs corresponding amino acid is attached (by aminoacyl-tRNA synthetases). tRNAs cope with the degeneracy of the genetic code in two manners: having more than one tRNA (with a specific anti-codon) for a particular amino acid; and 'wobble' base-pairing, i.e. permitting non-standard base-pairing at the 3rd anti-codon position. The record is from Rfam by way of RNAcentral. Lineage: Eukaryota; Metazoa; Chordata; Mammalia; Rodentia; Muridae.
GAGGAUUUAGCUCAGUGGUAGAGCGCUUGCCUAGCAAGCAUAAGGCCCUGGGUUCGGUCCUCAGCUCC